AAUUCUUUGGCAGUGUCUUAGCUGGUUGUUGUGAGUAUUAGCUAAGGAAGCAAUCAGCAAGUAUACUGCCCUAGAAGU
This is a non-coding RNA of Rattus norvegicus (Norway rat), 78 nucleotides long. Lineage: Eukaryota; Metazoa; Chordata; Mammalia; Rodentia; Muridae. The record is from Rfam.